Molecule: long non-coding RNA, 1351 nt
Filed under: Phascolarctos cinereus (koala)
Lineage: Eukaryota; Metazoa; Chordata; Mammalia; Diprotodontia; Phascolarctidae
Description: lncRNA (ENSPCIG00000032711.1)
Source: RNAcentral
CAGCUGGUAGGCAGUCUGACAUGGGCAUGCUCCUACAGGUGGCUAAUACCGCUCUCCAUGGGACCUUGAUGGUUCUCUUCACCACUGGUCAUGAUGGGUGCACUCUUUGAUAUCAGAAGUACCUGGGAAAGAGCACAGGUGUCUGGGCUUUUGAUUCUGACAAGGCCAACAGACUGGAUUUGAGGGAAGAUCCCCCAGGACCACCUUGAGUGGCAUUUAGAAACUGUGUGGCAUAUGGGGGUGUAGGCAUGACUUGGUGGUGCCUUCUACCCACUGGGGCUUCAUUUACAGAGGACUGGAAGGUUUCAGGUGUGGGAAAAGUAGUAUUAUUAGUUAGAAAAUUAAUCAUGGAUUACAUAAUGCUGAAAGGGAGGUGGGCUUAGAGUGCUGGCAGGAGCCAUAGGGAGAGGGCCUUCCCUCAUGCUGCUGGUACCAGGUUUCUCCUGCCUGCCCCUCAAGGGUCUAGAGACCCUACUUCUCCAUUCUAGUCAUGGUUUCAUCCAACUCCUCACCUGGAGCUCAGUCACUGGGCUCUCUCCUUUGGGACUAUCAGCUUAUGUAGUUGUGGGUAUGGUGGGCAGAAGACUGGCCAGGACCCUGUUGAGAUUGGUGGCCCUUCCUGUUUAGGGCUGGUGUAGAGUUGAUGCUGCCCUCUAUCCCUGGGGUGGACGUGUGUUGGGGGCUGGUAAGAGAUGUCGGAAUGGAGAGGUAAAGGUGAUUGGGGGCUGGCAGGGGACACCUGAAUGGAGAGGUGACACCCCAGGAGUUGGGACCCGCCUCUUCUGGGAUAGCUUGCGGGCUCAGCAGUGAGCUACGUGGCAAUCCCGGAUGAGGUGCUGGGGAGGCUCCGCUAAUGGGUUGUUGGCACCGCCUUCGGGGUGGAUCCUUGUAGCCUUCAUGACCUGCCCUCAGAUUAUAUAACGGGCUGAGAACAAAAGAUUGGGGGAUCCUCCACAAUAAAGAGCAUACACCACACUCGCGUCCUGUCUGGUCCUUGAGCCCACCUUUCCCCCAGGGUGGGUCCGGAGACGUCCGAAGCCUAGCUCCCAGGGAAGGAGACGUGCCUGAAGGGCCCAGCCCGGGUCAAGUGGCGCCCGAACAGGGACUUGAGUUCCUCUUCGGCGACCCCGCCAGGUAUGGGGUUAUCUCUUUGUGUCUCCACAGAAUGAAAAGGACAAUGGUAAAGGAAGAUGGAUCCCUGUCCGGUGGGCCAGAGAACUUGAGAAAAAAGAAGAACAGGCGUACCAGGAGGAGGAGACGCAAGAGGGGGCGCCGCGGGGACUGCCAUGUGCGCUGCCAGAGGAGAUAUAGAAACGAACCUUCUUGCGUUUCCACUCCGGUUAUUUUCUUU